CUCCUACGGGAGGCAGCAGUGGGGAAUCUUGCGCAAUGGGGGAAACCCUGACGCAGCAACGCCGCGUGAAGGAAGAAGGCUCUAGGGUUGUAAACUUCUUUGAUCAGGGAAGAAAAAAAUGACGGUACCUGAAGAACAAGCCACGGCUAACUACGUGCCAGCAGCCGCGGUAAUACGUAGGUGGCAAGCGUUAUCCGGAAUGACUGGGUGUAAAGAGCAUGUAGGCGGGAAUGCAAGUCAGAUGUGAAAUCUUAAGGCUCAACCUUAUUGAGCAUCUGAAACUGUGUUUCUUGAGUACUGGAGAGGAAAGUGGAAUUCCUAGUGUAGCGGUGAAAUGCGUAGAUAUUAGGAGGAACACCAGUGGCGAAGGCGGCUUUCUGGACAGUAACUGACGCUGAGAUGCGAAAGUGUGGGUAGCAAACAGGAUUAGAUACCCUGGUAGUCCACACCGUAAACGAUGGAUACUAGGUGUAGGAGGUAUCGACCCCUUCUGUGCCGGAGUUAACACAUUAAGUAUCCCACCUGGGAAGUACGGUCGCAAGACUGAAACUCAAAGGAAUUGACGG
Molecule: ribosomal RNA, 566 nt
Filed under: uncultured bacterium
Lineage: Bacteria
Description: bacterial SSU rRNA
Rfam family: Bacterial small subunit ribosomal RNA
Source: RNAcentral